This 253-nucleotide ribosomal RNA is filed under the name uncultured bacterium. RNAcentral's name for it is "partial 16S ribosomal RNA". It matches the Rfam family "Bacterial small subunit ribosomal RNA", at positions 524 to 776 of the family's 1533-position model. The record is from RNAcentral.
UACGUAGGUGGCAAGCGUUGUCCGGAUUUACUGGGCGUAAAGAGCGCGCAGGCGGUCGUUCAAGUCGCGUGUGAAAGCCCCCGGCUCAACUGGGGAGGGUCACGCGAUACUGAUCGACUCGAAGGCAGGAGAGGGAAGUGGAAUUCCCGGUGUAGUGGUGAAAUGCGCAGAUAUCGGGAGGAACACCAAUGGCGAAGGCAGCUCGCUGGGACGGUACUGACGCUGAGGCGCGAAAGCGUGGGGAGCAAACAGG